This 450-nucleotide ribosomal RNA is filed under the name uncultured bacterium. RNAcentral's name for it is "partial 16S ribosomal RNA". It matches the Rfam family "Bacterial small subunit ribosomal RNA", at positions 354 to 796 of the family's 1533-position model. The record is from RNAcentral.
GUGGGGAAUUUUGGACAAUGGGCGCAAGCCUGAUCCAGCAAUGCCGCGUGCAGGAAGAAGGCCUUCGGGUUGUAAACUGCUUUUGUACGGAACGAAACGGUCCGGGUUAAUACCCUGGGCUAAUGACGGUACCGUAAGAAUAAGCACCGGCUAACUACGUGCCAGCAGCCGCGGUAAUACGUAGGGUGCAAGCGUUAAUCGGAAUUACUGGGCGUAAAGCGUGCGCAGGCGGUUUUGUAAGACAGGCGUGAAAUCCCCGGGCUCAACCUGGGAAUUGCGCUUGUGACUGUAAGGCUGGAGUGCGGCAGAGGGGGAUGGAAUUCCGCGUGUAGCAGUGAAAUGCGUAGAUAUGCGGAGGAACACCGAUGGCGAAGACAAUCCCCUGGGCCUGCACUGACGCUCAUGCACGAAAGCGUGGGGAGCAAACAGGAUUAGAAACCCUUGUAGUCC